UACGUAGGUGGCAAGCGUUGUCCGGAUUUACUGGGCGUAAAGAGCGCGCAGGCGGUCGUUCAAGUCGAGUGUGAAAGCCCCCGGCUCAACUGGGGAGGGUCACUCGAUACUGAUCGACUCGAAGGCAGAAGAGGGAAGCGGAAUUCCCGGUGUAGUGGUGAAAUGCGUAGAUAUCGGAAGGAACGCCGGCGGCGAAAGCGGCGUGCUGGACCUCAACUGACGCUGAGGCGCGAAAGCCAGGGGAGCGAACGGG
RNAcentral lists this ribosomal RNA (253 nucleotides) under uncultured bacterium. Its description in RNAcentral is "partial 16S ribosomal RNA". It matches the Rfam family "Bacterial small subunit ribosomal RNA", at positions 524 to 776 of the family's 1533-position model. The record is from RNAcentral.